Molecule: ribosomal RNA, 309 nt
Filed under: uncultured eukaryote
Lineage: Eukaryota
Description: partial 18S ribosomal RNA
Rfam family: Eukaryotic small subunit ribosomal RNA
Source: RNAcentral
CCCUUAGAUGUUCUGGGCCGCACACGCGCUACACUGAAGGAGGCAGCGUGUACUCCUGGAUCGAAAGAUUUGGGUAACCCGCGAAUCUCCUUCGUGCUAGGGAUUGAGGUUUGCAAUUAUCCUUCAUGAACGAGGAAUUCCCAGUAAGUGCAAGUCAUAAGCUUGCGCUGACUACGUCCCUGCCCUUUGUACACACCGCCCGUCGCUCCUACCGAUUGAGUGAGCCGAUGAAACUGCCGGAUGUAGGCUAUUUAUAGCCCGCAGAAGAUAUUUGAAUCGUAGCGCUUAGAGGAAGGAGAANUCGUANCA